GAUGAACGCUAGCGGCAGGCCUAAUACAUGCAAGUCGGACGGGAUUCAGGAGCUUGCUUCUGAUGAGAGUGGCGCACGGGUGCGUAACACGUAUGUAACCUACCUUUAUCAGGGGGAUAGCCUCUCGAAAGAGAGAUUAAGCCCGCAUAAAAUCACAGCACAGCAUUGUGUAAUGAUCAAAUAUUUAUAGGAUAAAGAUGGGCAUGCGGAACAUUAGCUAGAUGGCGGGGUAACGGCCCACCAUGGCGACGAUGUUUAGGGGAUCUGAGAGGAUGGCCCCCCACACUGGUACUGAGACACGGACCAGACUCCUACGGGAGGCAGCAGUAAGGAAUAUUGGUCAAUGGGCGGGAGCCUGAACCAGCCAUGCCGCGUGCAGGAAGACGGCCCUACGGGUUGUAAACUGCUUUUAUACGGGAAUAAACCCAGAUACGUGUAUCUGGCUGAAUGUACUGUAAGAAUAAGGAUCGGCUAACCCCGUG
RNAcentral lists this ribosomal RNA (482 nucleotides) under uncultured bacterium. RNAcentral's name for it is "partial 16S ribosomal RNA". It matches the Rfam family "Bacterial small subunit ribosomal RNA", at positions 28 to 507 of the family's 1533-position model. The record is from RNAcentral.